This 79-nucleotide non-coding RNA is filed under the name uncultured Pontimonas sp. RNAcentral describes it as "Glycine riboswitch". It matches the Rfam family "Glycine riboswitch aptamer", at positions 8 to 90 of the family's 94-position model. Rfam says of the family: This family represents the bacterial glycine riboswitch. Glycine riboswitches usually consist of two metabolite-binding aptamers domains with similar structures in tandem. The aptamers cooperatively bind glycine to regulate the expression of downstream genes. The record is from RNAcentral. Lineage: Bacteria; Bacillati; Actinomycetota; Actinomycetes; Micrococcales; Microbacteriaceae.
ACUCUGAAAAGAGGACAGUCGUCCCGCCGACGGUGAAAGCGCUAUCCGCGUGAAACUCUCAGGCCAAUGACAGAGGGGG